Molecule: ribosomal RNA, 492 nt
Filed under: uncultured bacterium
Lineage: Bacteria
Description: partial 16S ribosomal RNA
Rfam family: Bacterial small subunit ribosomal RNA
Source: RNAcentral
AGUGAACGCUGGCGGUAGGCCUAACACAUGCAAGUCGAACGGCAGCACAGUAAGAGCGUGCUCUUACGGGUUGCGAGUGGCGGACGUGUGAGGAAUGCAUCGGAAUCUACUUUUUCGUGUGGGAUAACGUAGGGAAACUUACUCUAAUACCGCAUACGACCUACGGGGGAAAGCAUGGGAUCUUCUGACCUGUCGGGAUUGAAUGAGCCGAUGUCGGAGUAGCUAGUGGGCGGGUUAAAGGCCCACCAAGGCGACGAUCCGUAGCUGGUCUGAGUGGCUGGUCGCCGACACUGGAGCUGAGCCACGGUCCAGAGUCCUGCGGGAGGCACCAGUCGGCAAUGUUGGACAAUGGGCGGAAGUAUGACCCAGUGAUCCCACGUGGGUGGCGACAGCCUUCCGGUCGUAAAGCCCUUUUGCUGGGUGUGAACCGCUGUCGCUUAAUACGAAGCUGUUGUGACGGUAACCAAUGAAGAAGCACCGGCUAACUACGUG